GAAUCUAAUUCAAAUACAAGAAAGAAAGUCUUGGCUAUGAAAAAAUUAACAAAAAUAGAAAAAAAUGAUAAAGUGUCUCCUAAAAGAUCAGCACCAAAAGAAAUUUUGAACUAUGGGGAGAGUCUUGCAGAUAAA
Non-coding RNA from Linepithema humile (Argentine ant), 135 nucleotides. Lineage: Eukaryota; Metazoa; Arthropoda; Insecta; Hymenoptera; Formicidae. The record is from RefSeq and is a predicted model, not a curated record.